Molecule: ribosomal RNA, 513 nt
Filed under: uncultured bacterium
Lineage: Bacteria
Description: bacterial LSU rRNA
Rfam family: Bacterial large subunit ribosomal RNA
Source: RNAcentral
UGUAGGUCUGUGAAGGUGUCUCGUAAGGGAUGCUGGAGAUAUCAGAAGUGCGAAUGCUGACAUGAGUAGCGAUAAAGGGCGUGAAAAGCGCCCUCGCCGAAAGCCCAAGGUUUCCUACGCAACGUUCAUCGGCGUAGGGUGAGUCGGCCCCUAAGGCGAGGCUGAAAAGCGUAGUCGAUGGGAAACAGGUCAAUAUUCCUGUACCUUAUACAAGUGCGAUGUGGGGACGGAGAAGGUUAGGUCAGCCGGGUGUUGGACGUCCCGGUUUAAGCGUGUAGGCGUGCCCCUUAGGCAAAUCCGGGGGGCUGAGCUGAGGCGUGAUGACGAGGAACCACGGUUCCGAAGUGAUUGAUACCAAGCUUCCAGGAAAAGCCACUAAGCUUCAGCUUGUAUGAGACCGUACCGCAAACCGACACAGGUGGGCAGGAUGAAAAUUCUAAGGCGCUUGAGAGAACUCAGGAGAAGGAACUCGGCAAAUUGACACCGUAACUUCGGGAGAAGGUGUGCCCCGGU